RNAcentral lists this ribosomal RNA (491 nucleotides) under uncultured bacterium. Its description in RNAcentral is "partial 16S ribosomal RNA". It matches the Rfam family "Bacterial small subunit ribosomal RNA", at positions 28 to 507 of the family's 1533-position model. The record is from RNAcentral.
GAUGAACGCUGGCUACAGGCUUAACACAUGCAAGUCGAGGGGAAACGACGGGGAAGCUUGCUUCCCCGGGCGUCGACCGGCGCACGGGUGAGUAACGCGUAUCCAACCUGCCUCUGACUGAGGGAUAACCCGUCGAAAGUCGGCCUAAUACCUCAUGGCAUCGUCUGCGGGCACCCAACGACGAUUAAAGAUUUCAUCGGUCAGAGAUGGGGAUGCGUCUGAUUAGCUUGUUGGCGGGGUAACGGCCCACCAAGGCGACGAUCAGUAGGGGUUCUGAGAGGAAGGUCCCCCACAUUGGAACUGAGACACGGGCCAAACUCCUACGGGAGGCAGCAGUGAGGAAGAUUGGGCAAUGGGCGAGAGCCUGAACCAGCCAAGUAGCGUGCAGGAGGACGGCCCUAUGGGUUGUAAACUGCUUUUAGGCGGGGAUAAAGUGAGGGACGUGUCCUUCAUUGCAGGUACCGCAUGAAUAAGGACCGGCUAAUUCCGUG